AAAUGCGAUAAUUAAUGUGAAUUACAGAAUUCAGUGAAUCAUCGAGUCUUUGAACGCACAUUGCGCCCCCUGGUAUUCCGGGGGGCAUGCCUGUCCGAGCGUCAUUGCUGCCCUCAAGCACGGCUUGUGUGUUGGGCUUCCGUCCCUGGCAACGGGGACGGGCCCAAAAGGCAGUGGCGGCACCAUGUCUGGUCCUCGAGCGUAUGGGGCUUUGUCACCCGCUCCCGUAGGUCCAGCUGGCAGCUAGCCUCGCAACCAAUCUUUUUAACCAGGUUGACCUCGGAUCAGGUAGGGAUACCCGCUGAACUUAAGC
This 313-nucleotide unclassified non-coding RNA is filed under the name plant metagenome. RNAcentral's name for it is "partial contains 5.8S ribosomal RNA, internal transcribed spacer 2, and large subunit ribosomal RNA". The stretch from base 1 to 104 matches the Rfam family "5.8S ribosomal RNA", at positions 51 to 154 of the family's 154-position model. The record is from RNAcentral.